This 622-nucleotide ribosomal RNA is filed under the name uncultured archaeon. RNAcentral's name for it is "bacterial SSU rRNA". It matches the Rfam family "Archaeal small subunit ribosomal RNA", at positions 147 to 776 of the family's 1478-position model. The record is from RNAcentral.
UAAUACUCCAUAGUUCGUUAUUACUGGAAUGUUUUUCGAACGAAAGAUCCGUCGCUUCAGGAUGAGUCUGCGCCCGAUUAGGUAGUUGUUGGGGUAAUUGCCCAACAAGCCUGUAAUCGGUACGGGUUGUGGGAGCAAGAGCCCGGAGAUGGAUUCUGAGACACGAAUCCAGGCCCUACGGGGCGCAGCAGGCGCGAAAACUUUACCAUGCGGGCAACCGUGAUAAGGAAACCCCGAGUGCCAGCACAGGCUGGCUGUCCGCCAGUUUAACAACUGGCGAAGAAAGGGCCGGGCAAGACCGGUGCCAGCCGCCGCGGUAAUACCGGCGGCUCGAGUGGUGGCCGCUAUUACUGGGCUUAAAGGGUCCGUAGCUUGAUAAUAGGGUCCCUUGAGAAAUCCGCCGGCUUAACUGGCGGGCGUUCAGGGGAAACUUGUUUUCUAGGGACCGGGAGAGGUGAGGGGUACUGCCGGGGUAGGAGUGAAAUCCUGUAAUCCCGGUGGGACCACCUAUGGCGAAGGCAUCUCACCAGAACGGGUCCGACAGUGAGGGACGAAAGCUGGGGGAGCAAACCGGAUUAGAUACCCGGGUAGUCCCAGCUGUAACUAUGUGCGUUAGGUGUGU